Molecule: long non-coding RNA, 199 nt
Filed under: Elaeis guineensis (African oil palm)
Lineage: Eukaryota; Viridiplantae; Streptophyta; Magnoliopsida; Arecales; Arecaceae
Description: long non-coding RNA (EGUI_LNC043314)
Source: RNAcentral
GCUGGUAGCAUAGGAAUAACUUUCUGAACCAAUCGAUAUAACCAUCUAGCAAUGGUGACCCGACGUCCGGAUAGGUCGAAUGAAGAUGAAGCAACAUUUAAGAAUCUACUGGCGUAUGGUUACUGUAUAAUUCAUCUCUUUGACUCUAAUGCUCAAGGAUGACCUAGAAUUUAACUGUCAAUCCUAGAUAAGUCAUCCA